UACGAAGGGGGCGAGCGUUGUUCGGAAUUACUGGGCGUAAAGGGCGCGUAGGCGGCUCAUGAAGGCUGUGGUGAAAGUCCGGGGCUCAACCUCGGAUCGGCCGUGGCGACUCGUGGGCUGGAGCACUGUAGAGGCGGGUGGAAUUCCGGGUGUAGCGGUGGAAUGCGUAGAGAUCCGGAAGAACACCAGUGGCGAAGGCGGCCCGCUGGGCAGUGGCUGACGCUGAGGCGCGACAGCGUGGGGAGCAAACAGG
Molecule: ribosomal RNA, 253 nt
Filed under: uncultured bacterium
Lineage: Bacteria
Description: partial 16S ribosomal RNA
Rfam family: Bacterial small subunit ribosomal RNA
Source: RNAcentral